AAAGUUAUUUAAAUUUUAACCAGGUGCUCCGCAAGGCGCAGCUUUAUACGACCGCAGAGGUCGAACCCUGAACAGUUGGGGCAAGUAUGGACAAAACAUUCAAGCGUGAUACAGCUCUGAAUUUGGAUUGUGAUAAAAUUUUUGACAUUACAUGGGUUUUUUUUACACAAAACAAAUGUCAAGAUUUUACAAAUCAAUUAAAGAUUUCUUCAAACUUUUUAAAUCUAAAAUUAAAUAGUUGACACAGCAUAGGUUUCUGACACAGAAUGAAUGUGGUCUAAUGAACUUAAAAAGUUUUUUUUUUGCCUUUGAGCAAUUCACUAUGCUGUUGAAUAUUAAUCCUCUCAAAAAAAUGUUUGAAGAAAUUUUCUUUUUAUUUAUGAAAUCUGAAAUGAGAAAAAUUUAACCCCCCUUUUUUUCACAUCCCCGUUUCCCUUUUUCCAAAACUGAUAUCAAUUCAAAUUUCUAAUGGAGUUUGCAACAAUAACUACUCUUUUAAAUACAUCAUAAAAUAUUAAAAUGUAAAAUAAAGUGCUUGUUAUCACUGAAUGGUAAAGAUUGGUUGGUAGUAAAAGUGAAUAUACA
Molecule: long non-coding RNA, 585 nt
Filed under: Mytilus galloprovincialis (Mediterranean mussel)
Lineage: Eukaryota; Metazoa; Mollusca; Bivalvia; Mytilida; Mytilidae
Source: RNAcentral